ACGGGUGAGUAACACGUAGGUAACCUGCCUAACAGACUGGGAUAACUACCGGAAACGGUAGCUAAGACCGGAUACGACCAUUUGGGGGCAUCCCUAGAUGGUGAAAAGCGGAGUAAUCUGCUACUGAUAGAUGGACCUGCGGCGCAUUAGCUAGUUGGUGAGGUAGUGGCUCACCAAGGCGACGAUGCGUAGCCGACCUGAGAGGGUGAACGGCCACACUGGGACUGAGACACGGCCCAGACUCCUACGGGAGGCAGCAGUAGGGAAUCUUCGGCAAUGGACGAAAGUCUGACCGAGCAACGCCGCGUGAGUGAUGAAGGUUUUCGGAUCGUAAAACUCUGUUGCCAGGGAAGAAUGGCCAGAAGAGUAACUGCUUUUGGUUUGACGGUACCUGAGAAGAAAGCCCCGGCUAACUACGUGCCAGCAGCCGCGGUAAUACGUAGGGGGCAAGCGUUGUCCGGAAUUAUUGGGCGUAAAGCGCGCGCAGGCGGUUGUUUAAGUCUGGUGUAUAAACCAAGGGCUCUACCUUUGGACGCAUUGGAAACUGGGCAACUGGAGUGUAGGAGAGGAAAGUGGAAUUCCACGUG
RNAcentral lists this ribosomal RNA (587 nucleotides) under uncultured bacterium. RNAcentral's name for it is "bacterial SSU rRNA". It matches the Rfam family "Bacterial small subunit ribosomal RNA", at positions 102 to 675 of the family's 1533-position model. The record is from RNAcentral.